Molecule: long non-coding RNA, 1557 nt
Filed under: Melopsittacus undulatus (budgerigar)
Lineage: Eukaryota; Metazoa; Chordata; Aves; Psittaciformes; Psittaculidae
Description: lncRNA (ENSMUNG00000017280.1)
Source: RNAcentral
CGGCUUUAGCCAAGGCUGCAGGGCUCGGUGUUUGAACAAGGAAAGAUCCCCAGGUGUACAGAAGAUUGGAUUUGCUCUUAUCUGGGUUAAAAAAAAAAAAAGGGUGAAAUGAGAUUUCUAAAGCUUGGGGACUUCAGCUCGCCUUCUGUUGCACUUGAUCUCUACAAGAUGGGUGAGUUAUUCCCAUUAGAGAGAAAGGGAGUGGAAAUUUAAGGAGAAAAAAACGCACCAAACCCAAACAUGUCUGAAUAUAUAACUGCUGAUGCUGGGGAUACGAUUCGUAUGAAGCUGCUGAGCUAAAAAUCUCAGCUCCAACGUGGAGAUCGGGCCAUAUGGCAGAGAAAUGGUGCAGCCCGAAAGCUGUUGACAACAGUUAGUGGCUGCUUUCCUCCUCUCCCCGCUGUAAGAUGGCUAACGUGCCGCCGUGUUAGGAAAACUGUGCUCAACACCACCACAGCCCAGCGCCGGGGAGGGAGCAAGCUCUUCAGAUACCGGCUGAAGGGAAGGGGGGUGCUGGGUGAGUUUGUGUGUGCGCUCGGGGGGGGAAGGAAGAGAGAUGCCGGGCCCGAGGACUGCUGCCGGUGCUGCCUAGCGGGAGGUGCGCGGUCGGCGGCCGGUCCCGCCGGGGCUGCGGCUGCCCCCGCCGCCCCUAGCCCUCGGCCCGGUCCCCCCCGGCCCGGCCCCGGGAAGGGAUCUCGGCGUUCCGCUGCCUGGAUGACAGCGCAGAUGAGAAAAGCAGGCGAGUGAAUGGCAAGGCGAGGCUGGCGGAGAGAAGGCGAGCCAAGAUGUCAGUGACUGUCAGCGAAGUCUGCUAAGGGAGGGAGAGACCUGUGCGUGCCUGCGCUCCCACAGACAGCCGGGGAGGAUCUGUUCUGGCCACGGUUUAAAACAGCAGCAGCAGCAGCAACAACAGCAGAUUGCUCCCCCUCUCGUACUCCCUCCCCUUCGACCCCGCUUUAAACCCAAGCAAGUGACGGACCGUCCAGACCAUGCAGAUGACGAUGCUCACGCUGAGCCACUGACAAAGAAAAGACAAGUCACCCAUUCCUGAAACACAGAUAACUGCCCGCCUGCAAGCGGGAGAUGUCUAGCAGUUGAACUUUUCUGUCCUGUGAUGAUGCCGUGGUGAGCCUGCUGAUCUAAAAGAAAGCCAUCUCUUUUGGAUCCUGAGCUGGCCAGACUGAAAGAGAUUAAUGGAGUGAUCAGCCUUAGCUGUCAGUUCUCUCCCAGGGGAUACAUCCCUUCAGCCCCUCUCGCUCUGGUGCUUGUGGUGAGGGGAGCAGGACAUCUUUGUGAGGGUGGGUCACUGGCACCUUCCCCUUCGAGGUGGAAGGCUGUGUUUCUCUUCUGCAGAGCCGAAGAGGCAGAUGAGACUCCAGGACUGCUUCCAGGGCAGAACUUUGUAGUGGUCUCAGCAUCCCUCUGCAUCGUGGAUGUGAGCCACAGGAGCUGGGGAUGUUUGAGGCAGCUGCUGCCAAGUGACACCCAGCAGCUGCUCCAGAGGCUUUUGCGUGGUCUCUUGCUUAAGGGCUUUUCCUGUUGUGAAGAUGUCCAUGG